UUUCCGGGAACAAAGUUGGUGGCAUAUGACCAAACAUUGUUGUUAACAGGGUCAGCCAAGUGAUCAGCUAGGUUCUCAAUCGGUCCAUUUCCUGUCACAAUAGCUUGCACAAAAAACCCGAACAUGGAGAACAUGGCUAAUCUUCUUGAGCUCCUUCACUUUAAGCUCAGCAAAAGCCUCAGGAUCGUCUGCAAGCCCUAAGGGGUCAAAGCUCCCCCCAGGGUACAAAGGGUCUACAACUUCACCGAGAGGUCCUCCUGCAAUUCUGUAGCCUUCAACUGCACCCAUCAAGAUCACUUGUGUUGCCCAGAUUGCCAAAAUGCUCUGAGCAUGAACUAAGCAUGGGUUUCCCAAGUAGUCUAGUCCACCCUCACUGAAGAUUUGAGCUCCUGCCUUGAACCAAACAGCUUCUCCGAACUUGCUCCAUUACGAGCUAGGAAUUCAGGGAAGACACAUCCUAGAGCACCGAGCAUGGCCCAUCUUGAAUGGAUGACCUCGAGCUCACGGUUCUUGGCAAAUGUCUCGGGAUCGACUAAGAGCCCAGCUGUGUCCCAACCAUAGUCACCGGGAAACUCUCCGGUGAGAUAAGACGGGGCUUCAUUGGAGAAUGGGCCCAAGUACUUGACACGGUCAGGACUGCACCAUGGGCUGCCGGAUGACACAUUUUUGGACUUGGCUGCGGUUUUGCGCAUGGUGAUUCUGCCCUCACCGAGGAGGUUGGAUGUAGAAGAACCAAGCUGUGAGAAGGGGAGAGAGCCAUUGUUGAAGCAGCCAUAUGAGAAAAUGAAAGUGUUUACGAGUGUGUAGAGGGCCGAGUGAUUGUUAUGUUUUGCAUAGAGAAGCAUGGUGGGUAUUUGUAUAGGUUUGAUGCUAGAAAGUCGUUAUCUUUCUGCUAUCUUCAUCCCUUUUCUCACUGGUGAAAUGAAGUUCAAAGAGUUUCAAUCCUUUGAUCAAUUCCAGUUGGCAUGAUAGGCUCCAGUUAUUUAGUUCCACAAAGAUAGCAAUUGGAAAAUAGUUAUGCUUUGAUUUCUGACCAAGUAGAAUUAGCCCUACGAACAUGGCCGUCUUUUUGCAAUAAUGAUCAUAAUGACUCGAUUUCCAGUUGGUUUGAUAUGCACCACCAGCAUAACGUACGUAUAGAUACCAUAGAACAUCAAAGGAGAAAGAAUAAUGAAUUUUUCGACUAGAAAUGAGGAUGUUAAAACUAGACACAUGAUUACAAAAAUCUGAAAUAACAUUAAGAAUCUCUAUAAUUAAGGAUACAUUCAACUAAACAUAAAUUAGAAACAAAAUAUUACUCUAACGACGACUCAUUUGGCAUAUGUAAACCUUCAGACCAAUGUUCUAAAAAAUGCUAGGCGCUAGUCGGGCGGUAGAGGUGAAAUUUUGAAACCAAAAACCGAAAAAAAACCGAGCCGAAAACCAAACCGAAACUGGAAAAAACCAAACCUAAUUAAGAAAAACCGAACCGAACCAAAUUAGUUUGGUUUGGUUUUUGGUUUCGGCCCUUGAAAAACCGAACCGAACUGAAAAACUGAAUAUCCCUAAAACGACGUCGUUUUUUGUCUUUAUUUUCAUAUUAAAUAUUUGAUUUGAACAAUAUGAUUUUUAGGUUUUAUGUUCUAUAUAAUUAUCUGUUUGUCUUUUCUAAUAUUUUGCUUUUUAUUUUCAUUUUAUGUACAUAUAGAAAUGUUUUAGGUGUCGUGUAUGCAAAGUAUAGAGAGUGAUAUGUUACCUCUAAAAUCGAAGACCUUAUUAUUGCGAGCUUUAGAUGACAAAUUCUAAUAUUUAAUUUAUUUUUCUCUUCUUUAUUCAAAUUUAUGAUUUUUAAAAUUUAAAAUUCGGAAUUUAUUUGGAUGAACUUUAAACUAUGGAGUCUAUAUGUUGUGUUCAAGAUGAACUUACAAGUUUUAAAAUUAUGGUUUCAUGGUGUGCUAGUGUGGUCAAUUCUCAAUACUUUCGAAAUUAUUGAGUAUUAAACUUUCAAAGUAUCUAUUUGGUUUAUAAAUUGUUGGUUUGUUGAAGAAAUCAUUGUCAAAAAUUUUAUUGAUAUAUUAUAUAUGCUUAUAAAAAAAAACUAGUAAUGGAAGAAAAAAAAGACCUAAAAUACGAUAAUUUUUUACCAAGGCAAAAGCAUACAAAUUUUAAGAAAAAUUAUUUUAAAAAAGAAGAAAAACAAAAAAAAAACUGAACCAAACCACGGUUUGGUUUGGUUUCCGGUUCAAGGUCUCAAAAAAUACCAAACCAAACUGAAUUUUUUAUUCGGUUUGGUUUCAGGUUUUAUGUGAAAACCAAACUCACCCCUAUCGGGCGGACAGCCGGUGACUAGCGCUUAAACGGGUCAAUCGGGAGAUUAAUCAGUUUUCUAACUCUCUAGACGGAAACAGUGAAGCACCGCCUAACACGUAGGCGUGGAUUAAUCGGCUAUAAGCGGAGAUUUUUAAACCAUUGCUUGAGACAACAACUAGUCCUUAAAACUUGUAUGACGAAAUUGACUGUGGCUCAAAUUAUAAGGAGCUACAUUUAGAAUAUCUGCUGCUAUGGGGCAAGUAAGCAAAACAUGGGAAGUAUCUUCAUAAGGACAUGGGCAUGAUAUGCAUCAAGUAUCACCUGUAUAACCCUUUGUAGUAAGUGCACGUACCUCUCAUUGGCAGUCGGUUAAAGCAAGCUUUCCAGAAGCAAAUACGCACCUCCUCGGUACUUUUGUUUUCCACAAUCGUUUCUGCUAUAAGCCGUUUUUAUGGUCAUGUCUUUUUUUUUUUUUUUUUUUUUCUGUUUUAGGUAGAACAAAAUUUUCUUGCCUUGCUUUUUUUUUUCAAUAUGAUAUUUGUUUGCUCAAUACCAUUUUGGUCUAGUGACAUAAGUCUCUCCUUGUAAAUGAGAAGUCGUGAGUUCGACUCAUAGUAUUGUAGCAUAUUAUUGUGCGUUUGAUCCAAAAAUAAAAUAUGAUCUUUAUUUGGGAUCAUAGCGUUUUUUUGCUUUUUGCUUCAAUAUGCAUGUGGACAUUUUAUGUACUUAUAGGCUCAAUUAUGGUGUGAGCUGAAAUAUGUAGUAGGAGUGUUACCUGUACGUGGAUUAUUUGAUCUUAUUUACCCUCUUUACACAAGACAAUGCAUUGAUUCAUGAUGUAUCAUUUAUUUGAAUGGAUUGGAAUAUCUUCUUUAAUUCAAAAAUUAAUUAAAGAUCUCUUUCCUUAAGAUUGUGAGCAAACUUUUGCAUUUAUACAUAAUUAAUGGCCACUAUGAGCAAGUAAUAUUUAUUUUCAUUACCUAUUAAAGUUCAUUCAUCGCUAUAUAAGCAUGGAUGUAGCAAGAAAACUCCUAUAGUUUAUUCUAAGCCUGAGCCAGAGAUAAAAUGAUGAGAAAAGCAUUGUGGCAGCUCUACUGUUUUCUGCUUUUCCUUGUCCUAGCGCAUUGCAUUCUCCAUUGUGGCAGCCACCCUGUUUGGGGAAGAAAGUAUUUCGUCCGUAUUGUUAACAAUCUCGAAAACAACGAAGUGCUUAACUUUCAAUGUAAAUCCCUAGAUGAUGUAAUUGGUCCGCGUACUCUUCCUCCAUUUGGUGAAUUUGAAUUUAAAUUUCACUUCGGCCCUGAUACAGUGUUUGAAUGCUCUACGUGGUACUCAAAUCGCAUGGCUAAUUUUACAGCAUGGGAACCAAUUGUUCAACCUUUAUGAGGCGGGGCGCAUUUAAUUUAACUAUAUACUAAAGUAUGGUUUACUGUUCAUAAUCACUGUUCACAUCACAUGAAUAGUGCACUGUUUGGUGGGUGUGAUUCUGUUUAUGCCCUCUGUUUCUAAAAAACCACGAAAUUACCAUUAACCCUAGAUAUAUGAUUGUCUUCUAUAUAAUUAGUUGUUGUUGAGGAUGUUGUGGGUUGGGAAGUAAUUUUUGAACUCUUAUCUUCAUUACCGUGUCUCAAUUUUUUUUUUUUUCAUAGAUCUCACAAAGGGUAUUGUUAUCGAAGUCAAUCUAAAAUAGGGUAGUGGUAUCAUAGACCAAGGUUGAGCAAGUUUAUUUUCUUAAUUAUUGAGGUGAAACAAUUUUGGUUCUAUUUUAGCAACGGAAUAUUAAUUGAAGUACAAAUAUCUUUGAUUUGGCCAAAGAAAUUAUCUGGUUGCAAACCAACUCCUAAUUAACAAAACGUACUAAGUUAAUUUAAAUAUCGUGUGAUGAAGUACUAUGUUAUAUAUACUAAUGCAAUAUAUUUGGUUUUUGUUUUGUUUACUUUUAAUUUACUUGGUUUCUCAUCUUUGGUUUUAGUUUUGUUUACUUUCAAUUGAGUUGGUUCCUCAUUUUUUGUUUGGUUUUUAUGUCAAGUUCUCAUCUUUGACAUUUUGAGAUCAGUCUCUUUAGGAGCUUGAGAUAAAUAUUCUUUUCAGUUAAUUAAUCACUUGCUUUGUGUGUGUGUGUGUGUGUGUGUUUUGUUUUUUUUUUUUCUUUACUNUAGUAUNAUAUANCUUUAUUAGUUAGUUUUUAGUUUUUUUUUUUUUUUUUUUUCCUAUCUUUAGUUUCCUAUAAAUCAAGUUUUCUAAAAAUUGCGUUUUUGGUGAAAAACAGUUAAACAAAUAUGAGCAUUUUGUAUAGUCAAAACUAGAGCUAUAUUUUCGAUCAUACUGCUUCAGAUAAGUUGUUCUAUUUUGUGCACUUACAAGACAUUUACUAUUUUGGAUAGGUUACAACACUAGAUGUUUUGUAUUGAAGUUCUAUGAAGUACAUAUCAAAAACUUUUUCAUCAAUCAACUGAAUCAUUAACCAGUUUUAUAAAUAUACACCGCGCCAAGGCGCGGGUAUCAACUCUAGUUGUAUAUACAGUGUGUGAUCUGCUACUGUGUUCAGGUACAACAUAGCAACUCGACGAUAUGUAGGAGUCAUUAAUUUUUGGACUGUAGUACCAUGAAAAUGUUUGGGACAAAUGUAGUUUCAAACAAGAAAUAUUUAUAAGCUACAAGUAUGUUUUUUUAUUUUUUAUUUUUUUUAUAUAUGAAUAAAGGGCUGGUGCGGCUGUUUUCAAGCCUUCAUUAAUGAAACUGUCGAAUACAAGAGGGGCAUAUAUAAAGCCUAAACCCCUGAUUACAAAGACCCAAAAUAAUAUCGAGAAUCUCUAUAAAAUACAUGUAUUCUGAUAAACACCAACUAGCAAAUAGUACUACCCUAAAGACGAAUAUAUUUGCUUUGUCAUAUCGGUGACAUAAUGGAAAGAUCACUAGAUAUGUAACACGAUUACUUAUCCUAAUGUCUGAUAAAGAAUAGUACACAAGAAGUUAAUUAGCAAAGAAUAUUAGAAUACUUAUAUAUACACCAAGUUCUAAUACCAAACGUGAUCGAUCCAAUUUUUUUAUUUUUUUGAUGAAAGGGAUUGUAGUAAUCAAACUGGGCACAAAUUAUCUACCCAAACUACAGGAUUUGGAGCUGCAUAUGUUGUACUAGCCAAUCUGUGCGCCACUGUAUUGCAAGUUCUACUACCCAUGAGAGAGAGUCAUGGAUGUCACAAAGUAACCCUUCCAGCCCUACAUAGGUACCUUGCGUAUAGGAGAUAACCAAAAUUGCCUCUAGACAAUCUGUUUCUAUGAUAGCACAUACACAAUGUUUUCAAAAGUUUUAGUCCUUCUUUGAUAGCAUAUACCUCCGCCUUCUUUGCAGAGACUACUGGGGCAAUAGGAAUGACCAAAGCUGCCUUGAAUUUUCCUUGAUUAUCCCUGAGUAUCCCUCAAGUGCCUCCACGAAGAAAUGUUGGAAGAAAGCUACCAUCCACCAUGAGUUUGGUUUCCAUUUCUUGUGUUGUAGUUGGGGAGUCUGCCUUACUGGAGGUUGUAUUUGAACUUGUUGGUUUUCAUUGAACUAGGCCAUUGCCCAUGCUUGUACUUCUUGUGCUGUUUGAUGCUUUUCAUUCCAUAGUAUAUUGUUUCUGUUAGGCCAAAGAGACCACAAGCUGAUGAGAAGUUUGGCAAAGAGCUCCUUUGGCAUAUGUAAACCUUGAGACAACAACCAGUCCUUAAAACUUGUACGAGGAAAUUGAAUGUGGCUCAAAUUAUAAGGAGCUGCAUUUAGAAUAUCUGCUGCUAUGGGGUAAGUAAGCAAAACAUGGGAAGUAUCUUCAUAAGGACAUGGGCAUGAUAUGCAUCAAGUAUCACCUGUAUAACCUUUUUUAGUAAGUGCACGUACUUCUCAUUGGCAGUCGGUUAGAGCAAGCUUUCCAGAUGCAAAUACGCACCUCCCCGAGUCCCCGUAAUUUUUGCUUUCCACAAUUGUUUCUACUAUGGGUCCGUUUUUUUUUUUUUUUUUUUUUCUUAGUUUCAGGUAGAACAAAAUUUUCUUGCCUCUUCACAAAAACAUUUCUUGCCUUGUUCGUUUUUUUUUUUUUUUUUUUCAAUAUGAUCUUUGUUUGUGAUCAUAGCGUUUUUUUGCUUUUUGCUUUAAUAUGCCUCUGGAUAUUUUAUGUACUUAUAGGCUCAAUUGCGAUGUGAGCUGAAAUGUGUAGUGGGAGUGUUACCUGUACGUGAAUCAUACACAAGACAGUGCAUCGAUUCAUGAUGUAUCCUUUCUAUUAAGAAAAACAUAAGGGUCUUAUGACUUCUACUUAGUUGCUGAUUCAUAGAAUUAUUACCACUCUUAGGCUCAGUUUAGGAUUGCAUUUUUGGGUUAAAUCCUGCUUUUUCUCACCCAUUUAUGACUGAUAGCCUGUUUGGUAAGCAUUUCAUAUCUGCGUUCUUUUAACGAUUGCGGCCGGAAACCGCAAAAAUGAAAAGCAGCGGAGGACCUGCUUUUUCUUAUCCAGCGUUUUGUGAACGUGAAUCAAAUAGCCUGUACAUUCAUGAAAUUCCAGAAACAUCCCCACUGAAAUUCAAAAGUCAAACCCCUCGGAAUUAAUUCUCGUUCUCUUCUUCUGGGUUUCUUUCGUUUUUUGCCUUCUUUUGCAGCUCCUCAUCCCCUUGCCUUCGUACCUCUCUCUUCACAGCUAUUCACUUCUUCUUUGAUGGAUUACUGUAUCAUAUUAUUUUAUAUAUAGAUCUGUAAUUGAUCGUAAGGUGAUCGAGGUUUCCAUCGAAUCGCAUACACUUCGUAAUUUGAUGAGAAGAACAAAAGAUCCAUAUGAGUCAAAAGAUCUGUAUCUAUUUUUGAAAUUCUUUGUUUUUGAUAUCAUGUUUACCAAACAUUGUAGCAGUACUUAUUUUUACCUCAACACUUUCAAAUAUAUGAUUUACCAAACAUUAUACCGAGAUUUUUUACAACAGAUUAUUUUUACAACAGAGUUAUUUUAAAGUAGAGUUUAUAUACCUCAAUAUCAAACUAGGCUUUAUUGGUGGACAUAUAACCAAAAUGACGGUUUCUGAUGUCCUAGAAAUGAAAAACAAAAAUUUGAAAGAGUGGCAUUAUUUUUUGAGCAAUUUAAUGACAUCACACAUUAUAACCUAUACUAAAGACCUAUCUCUAAUGUACCGUUCAUUUUAUUUGUCCUUAUUCUCUCGAUAAAUUUUUCAGUAUUUCCGAAAGACCAUGUGGCAUUGCCUGGUUAUCCAAGCCUAUGAGACGUUGACACGUGACACUUUUUAGACAACUCGCAUCAAGGUUAAUUCAUUUAGUUUUCAACUGCAGUAAAACAAACCCCUCAACUAUCGCCGUUAAGUGAUAGUGUGAUAAAAAAAUGUAAAUCUCUGAAUUUUGUUCGUCCUCUCGCCGUCUGCCUUUCUCUUUGUGUUCUUUUCAGCAGAAGCACAAGGAAGCUUGUGGGUUCAGUUAAGCCUUGUCGUCGCCCAUAAGAUCCACUUUGUCCAACAAUUGGGAUUUUCAGUUCCCCGUAGCUAUUACCCGAUCUCCUCCACGCGUCCCCAGGUUUCUUCUCUUCUCUUCUCAUUUCCCAAUUGUUUUUCUUGCUCUUUGGGUCUUGCUAGUUUUUGUUAAUUUUGGUUAGAGAGUUGAAUGAUUGUGAUCAGACUCACUUUUCGGAGAAGAAAAGAAAAUUGAAAAUGGGAGAACUGAGUUCAAAGAAAGAGAAUUUGGGAAACGAAAUCCGCACAAACCGACGGAGGUGAGUAUUCGACGAUUUUGGUUAGUUAUAUGGAAUUGAUGAAACUUCGACGGCUCUCCCUUCUUGAAUAUGUUGUUUAUGGGAUUUGAUUUCUACACCAAAGUGAGGAAAAUUCUAUUAAGCUAUCAUAUAUUCAUAUUGGCUAUGAUUGAAUGGUACAUGACCAUAAUAGCUUGAAUUCCAGUAAAAGCUUUGUGGAUUUGGGAUUUGAAGUUUGAGGUUUUAUUUUUAUUUUUUGGAUUUGAAUUUUGCAGUUUUUGAAAUUUUACAUGUUAGUUGAUGUUGUUAUCCUUUUCAUGUUAAAGUCCAAUGUAUGAUUUAGCAGGUUAGAUGAGAUAUUGGAUUUGCUGAACCUUCAGGUAGUUAGAAAAUAUGCCAAUGUCUCCAAUGGAGGGGUGCCAUUUAAUUAGAAAGUAAACAUCCCACAUUGUUAUCAGCCCUAGACCACCAUUUUACACAUUUCAGACCAACAAUUUGAUUGCUUGUUUUCUCUGCUAUGUACUCAAAUCUAUUACAGCUACUGGGAUAGCUGCAUCACCAAAACUAGUUCUUUGUGUAUCACAGCUUAUGACUCUAAUUGUUUUACCAUCAAGGUCACACAGAAUACUUGAUUUUGGAUUAGUCAUUUACUUAUCCAUUUUGUCAAAUAUGGGUUCUGCUGAGAAAUGCCAGGAUGGCAAGUAAUUAAGCAACAAUUUUUGGAUGAUCCUUCUGAAACAACUAUAUACAUAGCUGGUUUGCAGGCUGCAUGGAAGCUUGGUGCUGCAUUCAAAUUGGUUAUCAUUUGAUUAUGACACUGCGUCUAGUAUCUGCUAAGUUUAUUGGUCUUUAGGUUCAAAAGUUUCGUUUUAUCGAAACUCUUAUGAGUUUUAUUUGGUUUGCAUAUAGUUCUCUUUUGAAGCUUGUAUUAUAUCUAAAUAUUUCUCAUGUUCUCUUUUUAGAUCUACCCCAAAUCCUGUUUUUUCUUUUUUUGAAUUCUGGGUGCACAGGCAGUGAGAUUGUAGUUGUCAGUGACAAACUAAGGAUAAAUUGGAAGAGCUUUAAGGUAUCUCAAUCAGUGAUUUCCUGAAUUACUUCAUUUGGAAGAGCCUUAAGAUAACUUGGUUAUUCUGAUUCCUAUAUGAUGUCUGAUAAUGUGUGGACAUGGGUGCAGGUUGAACCGUAACAGAUGAGGAUUGGCAUAGUUGAGUUUGAGGAUGAUGUGGUACUUGACAGUGAGGGUGACGAAGUUAAUGGAAGGUGACUCAUACAAGUAUGUCUCUGGACAAAAAGUGCACUGCAGGUUUGUAUAUUUGCUUCUUCUUUUUUUUGUUGUAUUUUGGUUAAUUUUUUGAUAGCAGUUGGCGUUGAACGUGUUGAUGAUAUGAAGUUUUUUUUCUUAAUGAAUGCUUGAGGAAGUAAUCUCUGCAAGACUUUGCAUUUACUAAUUUGAAUGACAAGUUUCUUGAAAUAAUUUUCAUACUACGGAGGAGUAAAGGCCGAAAUAUUUGUGCUGCUUGCAGAAUUUAGCUACAUCGACUCCCAUGAUCUUGGUUGGUCGCAUUACUGUAAGAGAAAGACAUUAGAUAAAUGGCUUUCAAACAUAUAUAUGAAGAUAGCUAGCAUCUAGGAUAAUAACAGGGUUUCAAAACUUUUCAAAUAUCGAUAAAAAACUGUGUGCUUGGUCAUAGUUAAGAUCAACUCAGUUAAAAUUGCAUAUGUGAAUGUGUAAAAUUCAAUCUUUGUGCAUAUACCAUAGGGACCAUUAGCACUCAAUAUUCAAUGAUAUAACUCAAAACAUGCAUCUCUCACAAGAAGUAAUGUUUUCAGCCAUUAACGUAAAACCUGAAGAGGAUAGAACUAUUAUGUUUCGAGUCACUUUCGUUUAACCAAAAACUAAUUAGGUCUCAUAGCUAGAAUACCAGCAUGAUGAAGAUGCCAAGGUGCAUUUGAGCAGCAGAGCAGUGAACUCCAGAUGCAAUGAACACCCAAAGUGAUAAUUGUAGAAAUAUAAUCCAUGUUACUUGAAGCAUUUUUCUCCUUAUGUGCAUAAACUAAAUGUCUAUUUAAAAGAGCUCUUACUUUGCUUUAUUGAAGGAUAUAGAUUGUGUCUCAUGUAUAUCGAUCUUUUUUUUUCUUCAUCACAUUGCUUAAUGAGCAUGCACCUUUGUUGUAUAGUCCAAUGGACUAAUUACAUUUUAUUUUUAGUUACAUUCAUGAAAUAUGUAGGAACCUCUAUGCAAUACUCUGAACAAGAAACAUGACAAGAAGUAUGUUCCAAUUUUAUAUGCUAAUUUUAUUGUUCCUUAUGUGGGAUAGAUGGGGUUGGAAGAAUUGUUGGACUGCUAAUCGAUCAGAGGAAGGCCCCAUCAAAGUGGAUGUCUAACCUGUUACUAGAGCUCUUUAAUUUGAUGAUGUAAACUCAGGUUGUCUGAGAGGGAUUUCCCCUUAGUGUUUGUUUGUUUCGUAUCAAAAAAAAGAGUGAAUGUCUAACGCGGACCAAACAAAAGUGGAGGUGUCAUCAUGCAUCUGGGAAUCAUACACCUGCUAAAUUUAUGCUUCGAAUUUCCAGUAUUUUUCCGUGUCUCAACAAUUGUAAAGUUCAUUCGUAUCAAAAAAACAAUUUGUAAAGUUCAUUCUUCAUAGAGUUGUGAGCAGCAUAUUGUAUCAUGAGGAAUUGAUGGGCUCGGAUGCAUAAUGAUUUACGUUUGCAGGAGCCAGGAGAGUUUGGUAUGCCGUUGGAACUUGGAAACCAUGUAGGUAACCAGUUUUGUUGGACAAAGAGGAUGACAAACUCUUAUUUGAAAUGGAAAGCUUUGGUAAACUAUUCAAACCAUGAGAUAUCAAUGUAGCACAAGACUCAUUUAUAUAUCCGACUUUGCCGUGUGUAGUUUGUAUAUAGAUUAUAUCCUUGCUAUGAGGAAAAAAAAAUAUAUAUCCGGCGUAAUUGGGAUAGAAAACGAUCCCCGCGCGGGAAUACCAGCUAGUACAUGGACUAAUCCUUAUAUGAACAAUUUCUAUUCGGAAAUCUAUUACAUGUAAAGCUUCAGACAUGGCAUAAUUCUAGUAACCGAAGAAGUGGCGUCUUAUAUUUAUCUGAAGCUCGUCAGGCAAAUUUUCCAAAAUACGUUCUUCAUUUACAUCCGUGGCAGAAUAUUGUUCGGCAUUUCUCACUUGCCUUCUAAACUCUUCAGGCAAGUUUCUGUACCUCAUCCACGCCUCAACAUCACGCCUCCUCAUCAACAUAUCAGACCUCCUAAAAAACCAAAAGAAUGAGAAAGGCUGAGAUGUAUAUAGAUUCUUACUAUCAGUAACCUCUUUCUCUAACAAAAAAAACUCUAGAAGAAAGAAAGUGGUAAUAAAGUCACGAUCAAACAAUAAAAAUGUGGUCAGCAUAUAGAUUCUUACUUUCAGUAACCCCUUUCUCUCAAUUAAAAAAAAAACUCUAGAAGAAAGAGAAUGGUAAUAAAGUCAAGAUCAAACAAUAAGAGUUAAGAAACAGAUUGGACAAAAAAAAAUAAAAAUAAAAAUUAAGUACCUUUGUCCAAGAGACUGGAGAAAAUUUUGCAUGUUUCCGAUCAGAAGAGCAAGGAGGAAGAGUCCCAGUCCAAUAAUUACCAUCGUAAAGAUAAUUUCACCAUUGUUAUAGCUUGGAGUUAGAUUUCCUCCCAAAGUGCUGAUUUGCUUAAUAAAUCACAGGAGAUAAUAUGUCAGCAUAAAGGUGUAACUUAUUUAUGAAAUCAUAAUAAAAUAAAGGGAAGUUAUCAGCAAUUAGAAUGUAAGGUACCUGAAACCCCCAAAACAAUGAGUAUAGAUAUUUAGUAAUGAUAUGUCCCGUAGUGAUAUUGAUAAUUGGCGCAUAGAUUCCAUAUGAGAAGUCUCCAUUGGGACUAAAACAAAGAGCAGCCUUCUCAUUUAGUCUCCGUUUAGUAAUUAACUCAUCCAGGGAAAGAUAACGAGCAUGCCAACAAUCUAUUAAGUUCGGGCAUGACUGCAUAUUAGAAUUGUGGCAGGCGUCUUGAAGACAUUGGUUAACCCUCUGGAACAAGAAAAAAAAUACAAAUGUUCUCAGUGGCAUAGCCAGAAACUAUCACUAGAAGGGUCAAAAUUUAAACAAUAAUACUAUUGCCUGUUAAAAAAAAUUAAAAAAUUAAAAAACUAUUGAAUGACAUAAAAAUGUAUGAAUUAUUACAUCAAUAAUUAAAAAGGACAAAAAGUAGGUUUUCCUAAAGCAAUUAUAAUUGUUCACGACAAUUACUCAUAUUUUGAAAUAUUUUCAUGAUGGUUUCACCGUCAAAUAUAUCUUUCUCAAUAUAUGUAAUCAUGAACAUGUCUCCCAUUCGGUUUCGCAAAUCACUUAUAUAACCGUCAUGGCAAAAAAUGCUCUUUCUACAGUGACAAUUGCAACUGGAAGAAUCAGUGUCAAUGUUAUGAGCAAGUAAACUAACGGAUCAACCUGGUUUUUCUGUUUCAACAAUUUUUUCUCGAAGCUCACUAAUUUCUUUCAUUUUUUUCCAAAGUACAUUCAUUGGAUCUAUCUCUAUUCUGAAGUACAGCGACAAUUGCAACUGGAAGAAUCAGUGUCAAUGUUAUGAGCAAGUAAACUAACGGAUAAACUUGGUUUUUCUGUUUCAACCAUUUUUUCUCGAAGCUCACUAAUUUCGGUCAUUUUUUUCCGAAGUACCUUCAUUGGAUCUAUUUCUUAUUUGAAUAGCUUGAGAUGCUGUCAACUGAUCCGUUGCUUUCUUUACAAUAUUUUUGAGAAAAUUUUCAUAAUUUCAAAUNNNNNNNNNNNNNNNNNNNNUUCAUAAUUUCAAAUAUUAAUUCUAAAGGUUUUGACUUGUUGUUUGUAGGGAGAAAUGUUUAAAGAACAAAAAAAGGAAUUACAGUUGAGAAGAAUUUAAAGAGCAUGAUAAGAGACAAAUAAAUUGUAGAAGCUUGAAUUUAUAUAGACGCAAGGUAAAUCAUGAAUCGAUUAGGAAGACAAAAAUGAAUAAUAAAUCUGUCCAAAUAUGAGAUGAAAGCAAACUUCUUUCCGAAAACUAUUUUCUUACUCCUAUAUUGAUUAGUAAAAAACAUGGGGUUAGAACUUAAAAGCUUUUCUGUCGACAAGGGUGGAGUAGUCUUGUCCAAACCAAGACAAGAUUUGGAAGGAGAUUACAAAUAUUUAAGACAAGUCUUGUCCAUAAGGGUCAAAUCUUGUUUCAAAGUGUAAUAUAUAUAUAUGUUGCCCCAACCAAUAGAAAGUUAGCUUAAAAUGUUAGAGGGUUCAAUUGAACCCUCUCGCCCCAUUGUGCCUACGCCCCUGAAUGUUCUAUUAAUUUGUUUUGACUUUAUCAUAAUUAAUUGCAUCAUAAAUUUCUUGUGAUUAUUGACUUUGGUAUAUAUUUAUAUAUUAUACUCAUUAGGUUUUUUUUUUUUUGAUCAAAUGCUCAUUAGGUAUUUAGUAAAAAUUCUGAUAUUUCUUUAAAAUAAAAAUAAAAAUUCCAAUAAAUAUGAAACAAAUAAAAAGAUAUACAAUUUAAAGACGACGUAAACCUUGUUAGUUGACUCAUAUUUAAAUUAUGGCAAUUUGUGUAAUUCUUUUGAAAAAAAAAAAAAAGAAAUCUAAUAUUUGAUCCUAGUUGGCAAUAAUUGGGUGUAAUUUAAAACAAUUUUAUGAGUGAGUUUAAUAUAAAAUGUGAUUUGAAUAUUAAGUGUAAAAUGAAAUGCCUCAUCAAACAAAUACGGGGAAAUAUGCAUCAUUAGGUUAGAUAAAAUGAAAUCUCCACACACCUGUAAGCCAAAGAGGUACCACCAUGACCCAAUGACAUGGGCAACCAGCAAAAAACUGAGUGUGUUUACAAUGAAAUUCGUCCAAAUUGACCCGAAUACAAAGAAUCCAUUCAAUGAUCGACCAGCAAGAAGGGACAAAACCCUAUACACCCUAGGAAAGUAUUGAAGAAAUAUUGCCAGGUGUAGAAGAUUCUUGGUCUCAUUUGUUCGUAGAGAAAAUCUUCCGUGCAACAGCCGCACCAGCUGACAUGUGCGACCAGCCGACCAACAAGUGCCUUGAUUUUUUCCACGCCAGCAAACUACGAAAAAGGCUCCAAGUUUAAAGUUGAAAUUUCAUUAUCCCGCCGGAAGCCAGAGUUAUAUUUAAAUUAGGAUUUCUAGGUGGUUAUUCUAAUCCAGGGAAGAACAAACGCCUCACUUUUCAGAUUACGGUCUCCUCAUUCCUCCCACUCACUUUUCUCCCACCGAUACUGAUAAUUCAUCAUCUCAUUUCCUACCGUUUCCAAAUUCAUGAACACAGAUCUUUCUAGACCCGAUUCAUGAACAUAGAUCAUGCUCGACCCGAUUCACGAACAGAGAUCUUUCUCAACCCGUUUAGUUCAUUCUCAUCGGUCAGGUAUUAUCUUUCUAUGCUGAAAUUAUGUGGCACCUCUUAUCUUCAAUCUUUUAUUCUUUGUGAGUGUAUCGUGUGGAUGGGAUGGACUGGAGAGAUAGAUAAUAGUUGAAAAGAAGACCAUGGGGAUGAGUUGGUUUUAGUCUCCAAAUUGAGGUUUAGGAGGUGGGUCAUUUUCUUGGAAUUCCAAUUUUUUGAGGUUUGGGAGGUGGUUUUUUUUGGGUUUCAAUCUGGACAUCUUACAUGCUUUGCCAUGGAAAUAGUACAUGCUUUGUUGUAUAUAGGAAUGAAUGAUGUGAACCCACCUGGAUUACUAGUCUGAUAGUCUCCGUUUGCAUAGACUUUUCUUAAUUCAAUUUUAGAUGCACACAGUUCUUUUUCCUGGAGCUUGCUUUCAGGUACUUGGAUAUUUCACACUUUCUCUAUGUUGGUCUUUUCCCUUUCAUGUAUUUUUCAGUUUGUUAGUUAUAGGAAGUGAUCAAGCACAUUCUUUGUCAUGGCUAUUUGGGAGGUUAACAGUGUCUCACUGUCUCUAUUCUCUAAAUUAGUUAAAGAUGCUUUUUGUUCAGAGCUUUUUAUUGUGUCUUUAAUUAGACAAAGAUAGUUUCUUUAUAGCAGUAGUGAACAAGGGUUUAAAGUAGAUGAUUUUCUUUUGAGUUUAUUGUUUUGUGCGUGUGUUGCAGUGUUAGAUAUUAGUAGAUAAGCUAAAGGUGAUGACGGAUCAGCCAAAAGCCAAGAGGUACAAAAAUCUCUGCUCACGGUUUACAACUAAUAAUACUCCAUCAAGUGAUAGUGACGAUGAGAUUGAGAUAGGGAGUGGGAGUAGAAAUGUGACUGUGGAUUGGCAUUGUUGACAGUUUUGGUACUCUAUGUGCGUGCAUACAAGGAAUGAAAGCAUUUCGAAGAGAUUGCCGAAGCUACAGAAUUCAAGAGAAUCACUUUAUAUUGUAUCAAUCUAUUAGCUCCGAUCGAUUAGUACUUUAUUAUGAUACAUUGUGGUGUAAUUUUGACACAAGUAAUUUUUCAUUGUGUUAAAUUUAGUUGUUACAAUUAUAAUCAAUCAAAACCUUCAUUUGACAUCUCUUUUUCAUUGUCUUCCAUUUUGUUUCAGUAGAAUGUACCUUGAGUAACAUUAUCAUAUCUUGAUCAGAGGCUUGGUUUCAUCUCUGGAUUUUGUUGCAUUAUUACCUUUUGGUUUGUGUCAAAGAUUAAAGAUAUGGUUAAAAAUUGAGAAAGAAAAAAGCUGAUGGAAAGAUACUUGAAUUUGUGAUGCUUAAACUACUAAGAUAUACUCAAUGAUCGAAUGUAAUCAUCAUAAAAAAAUAUUGUAGCACAGGUUACAUACAAAAGUUCGAUCAAAACAAGCUCUAAACAUGUCUUCGAUUCAGUUCUUAUAAAAUGCUCAUGUUAGUACUACAUCAUGAAACUUGCACACAUGACUUCAGUUCUCAUAAAAUGGUCCUCUUAAUACUGCAUCAAUGAAACCUGCACAAUUUAACUUCUGUAACUAUACUGUAAUUCAGGUUCAAUAUCAUCAACUCAAGCAUAUAAUAUUAAAAUACAGAACUAACCUCACUGAGGUUGUUGUCUAAGUGUAGGAUCAAUAGUCAAAGUCGCAGUUGGUGCAAGAUUCAACCCUGUAGUAUUCUACAAAUAUAGAACUAGUUUAUUUUCAAUAUAGCCAACUAAAAUGUAUGAAUGUACUAAGAUUUCAAAUAUACAUAUACCUGGUUUGAGAAAGGCAUCUGACCAUAACUAACAUGUGAAUGAGGAUGCUCAAAAGGCCAACUUAAAUUUCCCUGAAAGAGAAUGACAUGUAUGAAUAUGUUCAGUCUGUAAUACAUAAAGAAACAUACAUAUAAAGCUUCAAAAUGCAGACCUGAUUACUGAAUGUUGGGGUGUUGGGUACUCCAAACUGAUUACUCACUGUUGGGAUGUUAGGUACUCCAUACUGAUUACAGAAUGUUGGGAUGUUAGGUACUACAAACCGAUGAUUAUUGAAUGUAGACACAUCAGUUGGAGCUUUUGGAUCAUUAUUUUCUUGGUUUUCUUGUUCUGCAUCAGUAAAAAUUUCAGCUAUACAAAGUACACAAAACAAGAACUAUCAAUAUAAGCUUAUUUAAGAACUAUAUAAAAUAUGUAUGUACCUUUUGUUCUCUUCUUCCUUUGAUUUGUCUCCAUCACAUCUUUGAUUCUACUAUUUUUCAUUCCCUUAGUCUUUGCAUUUGGUGGGUUCAAAACUAGUGUCUCAUUACUAGAAAUGGUAGAGCCAGACUCAGCACCAAAAUUCUUCAGAUUUUCCAACACGUAAAGGGUGUCCUUGUCUUUUUCAAGACGCUUCAUUGCCUCUGUUAACAAAUGCUUGACAAUUUUAGUACCUAAACUAGUUAAUGAGGCUAUGUCAUACACAUUAUUUCCUUCAUGCAUCAAUUCGCUGAGGCGCAACACUCUAGCAGUCUUUAAAUUCUCACUUGUUCCUACACUUGUGUCACUGCUGACCACUACCGUACCCCUUUCUUUGCCUCUUUAGUCCACCUCUUCAAUAUAUACUGAGUUGGUAAAGUUGUGAUAUUAUUUGUAUCAAACACCUUCAAAGCAUGACGACACAAGAUCCCAACAGACUUAAAUGACUUACAAGAACAAGAUAUGCUCAAGGAUGUAGAGUUGUAUUCAAUCUUGUGCACACUUUCACGACCAUCUUCAAUUGCUUCAUAUACAUAAACUUGAUCUUUACUGGAAACUUCUUUUAGUCUAACUCCCAUACAACUAUAGAAUUCUGUUUCAAAAAACUGAAAAAUUUUGUUAGUAUAAACCUUGGCAGCACUGCUUAACAUCUUAGUCCAUACUUUUGGACGACGUGCACCAUUUUUGCUACGGUAGUCAUCUUCUAACUCUGUUAAACGCAACUCUUCAAUCUUUUUCUUAUAGUGAUGAACAAAUUUAAUAAGCUCCAUUGUGUGUGUAGAAAUUCCUUGGAACACAUUGUUUGUACUUUCACUCCUUUGAGUAGAUCUAAUCCUUGCCGAAAAAGUGUCCAAAUUAAAUGCUGCACACCACUUCUGUCGGAGUGAAUACAACUUUGCUAGCCAAGGAUUAUUUCCGAGAUUAUAUCUACCAAUCAAGUUAUCCCAUAAAACCUGAAAUUCAAUUUCAGAACAGCACCCAUGUAAACAAUGGUUGAAUUGCUUCUUGAACUCUGGAUUUCCAAGAUAACUACCAAUUUUCUUUCGGCAUUCUUGCCAAUAUGCCAAGUGCACAAUCAAUGGGAUGCACCUGGAAACACUAUUUUAACUGCCUUUGCCAUUGCUUUAUCUUCAUUUGUGAAAAUAGUUUUUGGUGCUUUAUUUCCCAUCGACUCCAAAAAGGAUUCGAACAACCAAACAAAAGACUCUGUAGUCUCAUCUAAUAGAAAUGCACAUCCAAACACAACAUUUCUCCAAUGAUGAUUAACUCCAACUAUUGGAGCACAAAUCAGAUCAUACUUGUUUGUACGAAAUGUUGUAUCAAAGCAUAUAACAUCACCAAAACAAUCAUAAUCUGACUUUGCUCUACCAUCCCUCCAAAAGAAGUUUAUCAUUCAGCUAUAUUGGUCCAAUUGCAUUGAAUAGAAAAAGUUAGGGUCCUCACCUUGUUUGUGCUUAAAGUGAUUCAGCAAGCUUUGUGCAUCACCUGCUUCCACCAUUUCAUUCUUUUUUCUUUGCAAGUAGUUGUAGACGUCUUUCUUAGUGCACCCAACAUUUUCUGAACCACCCACUUCAUUUGCUAUGUAAAAAAAUGCUUUUGUUGCUCCUAUUCUUGCAACUUUCAUGGAAGUAAAAACUUGUCCACAAGCAUCUGUUACUUUUCGCCCAGAUCUCAAAAAUUGCCUUUCUUCAGGGUUUGCAAGCUCAUGGUUAUGAUCUGAAUUGAUAUGUGAUAUUGUCCAUAUCCCAUCUUUCACAAUAAACGAUAUCAUAGCCUUGCAACCGACUCUUGUUUCCAACUUCCUAUGUUUGGUUGGUUCAAACACAUCUUGGUCUUGUGCAAACCCUUCCUUUGAACAUACAAACUCUCGUAACCGGAUGUUAUUUGAUGCAUCUCUUCUAAUAUGUGACUUACGAACACUGAAACCCUUCCUCAAAGCAUAGGUAUUAUAUAAAUUGUAAGCCUCCUCAUCUGAGUGUACUUGAGUUCCCACUUUGAGUUCUUCAUCGUCUUCAAUUAUUUCCUCCAUUCUUUCACAAGCCAAUUUAACUCUGUAAAACACAAAAAAGUUUAAGCAAAUUUUUGGUCAAUUGCAUAGGACUUUCAAGUAUCAAUGAUCAUUAGUUAAUGAGAAAAUCUAUUAGAUUAGAAAAACCAAUCGUACAAACACCAAAUCACACAGUGAUUGAAUAAUCAAAAUCUAAAGGAUCAGUUUAAGUAUCAGUUUAUAUACAACCACUUUUAAGUAUUGGUUUAUAUACAACGUCUUCAUUACUCAUCAAUUCUUUGUGUCAAGUUCACACAGAGGAUCAUGACAAAUCCAAAACAAUCGAACCCAAAUACUCAUAAGAAAAGCAAAGAAAUACUAACCUGAAUCAAAUUGCUUAUCGAGAUGAUCUUGUAUUGAUUAAAUUGAGCAAUCAUGAGAACGAGCUAACAGGUCGAGAAAGACUGGUUUUGGUGAAUCUGAAAAUUGAUUAUCAGUAAUGAGGAGACCCUAAUCUGAAAAUUGAGUGAGAGGAACAAGAAGUCGUCCACUGUUUGUUCUUCCCCAGAUUAGAAAAACACCUAGAAAUCCUAAUUUAGCUAAAACUCGGCGGGAUAAUGAAAUUUCAACUUUAAACUUGGAGCCUUUUUCGUAGUUUGCUGGCGUGGAAAAAAAUCAAGACGUAGCACUUGUUGGUUGGCUGGUCGCACAUGCCAGCUGGUGCGGCUGUUGCACGGAAGAUUUUCUCUUGUUUGUAACGAUCGCCGAACAAUCGACAACACUAUUAUCUGAACAAGAAUUUAAACCAAAAACAAGAAUAAAUCAAAUCUAAAAACCCGUCAUAUGGGGUAUCUGUAGAAAAAAAAAAAAUUAAUGACAUACUUGUAAUAAAAACAGUUAUGACUUGUAAUCUUAGUCUAUAAAGUUGGACGCACCGACUUGUAAUUGACAUUUGUAGAAUGAUCAUAUUUAAACAAUUACACAUAAGCAUAUCAAACCAAUUCAAAGUGGACAUGAGAGAAAGAGCUUACCUGAGGAACCGGUAAUACAAUUAUUAGGUCGAUUAAAAAGUUUCCAUGGAGAUAAUUUAGAGCGAUUUUUUUUGGUUGGUCUACUAUUUCUCCUGGACCAACCAUUCUAGACCUAGGAACUUCAUAAGCCAGCCUAAACUGCCAUGCAUAAGCAAUAAAAAUUUAGAAAGGCUCAAACAGACAAGAAAAAGAAAAAAACAACAAUUUAUUUAAGAUACCAAUUGAAUAAUACAGAUUUAGAAUGACAUUUUUAAACAGAAUAUGUCAUGCACUUACUUGGAUAAGCAUGUGUAACAGAUAUAUAGUCUGUCACAGUCCGUAAAAACACCAGUAGUAUGGUUUUAUGCCAGUCCAUAAAUAUGCACUUCUGAUCCUGCAUUUUAAGAAUACAGAUACCCCUCUAUUAAAAAAAGAAUAGAACGGGAAACAAAUUUACAUACUAAAGCAAUUUUCGAACGGCUGUUAUUUUUUCUUUUUCUUUUUAAUAAGAAGAAGAAAUUUCUGCUUCAAGAAUAAUGCAGUCUCAAAAUUUAAUGCAAACAUAUUUUAAAGUGAUGACAUCAAGUGAGAGAAAAACAAAGAUAUAGAAAGAGAGAAAGAAAAAAUAGAUUGUUCCGCGCUCGCAGAGGCCGCCGGAAUGGUAGCUUCUAGCAGAGGCAACCGGAAUCAAUAGGAGGAUCGGAUACCGUUGUGGGUUUUCGGGUCAAGGAACAAGGCCGAUUAGUUUGAGUUUUUCUACACCUUGUGAUAUCUCGAUAUUUCUAUUUCAAAUAAGGAAGAUUGAGAGAGAAAAUCGAGGGUUCAAGGAGGAGAGCAGAGAGCAUAUUGGGGAAGAAGAAGAUGAGAUGAUGAGGAAGAUGGAGAUCACGCGCCGUGAAAAGAAACGUUUGUGAUCCCUCACUGGGUCAACUGAAGAACCUUCGGCCGAAUAGCUGUUUCUUCUUCAACACCCUAUUUCAAUCGAAUUUGGUCGGCGCCUUUGCAGAUUUACACUCUAACACAGUGGAUUUGAGUUUUUUUGGCACCAAAUUUUGUUAGCGCGUAUAGUACAUGCGCCGUUUAGGAAAGAAGAAGACGCAUCAGAAGAUACCGAUGCCGAAGCCUCACCCUGUGAAUGGAAGAAUCUCCGACGUGCAAGAGAGAGAAAACAAGAUAAAGAUAAAAUACCAUUUCUCUCUCUCUCGUCCCCACUCCCCCAAGUGUCCAAACCCCAACUCCCCAAGUGUCCAAAUUAAUCCCUAACUCCCCAAGUACCAACCAUAGCCAGGCCGGACCUGAGAUUUCAAGGUCUGAGAUGAGUUUUAAGAAUGGUGUCCUCUAAUGACCGGAAAGCUUCACCUUGAGCAGAGGAGUUUGAGGAGACCAGUAAUGAGGAAUAAAACUGGCAUAAUGGUUUAGAAGUUUGGGAGCAAAACCCAGUUUUUAGAGACGGAGGGGCCCACUAACUUAACAGUGAGGAGAGGAAAAAAGAAGAAGUUAAAAGAUAAACAAGUGGUUAACCCUUCUCUCCUCUUCUAAACCACAAAAAUCCAGUUUUUAUUAUCAUCGACAACCAUCACUGCUCAUCAUCAUCCCCGUUUCAAACUUCUCUCUCUCCCUUCUCUUCUCUUCUAAACCCAACCAUUUCCUCUGUUUUUCAUUUCAAAAAACCAAAACCCAAACAAUUAUAGCUUUAAGCUUUAGUUUCCAUGGCUAGCAGACUUUUCUAAUCCCUCCUGCUCAAGGCAGCUACCGGAUUUUGGUGCCCCCAGAUUUUUGGGGCCUGAGGCAGCCGCCUCGUCGGCCUCACCUCAGGUUCGGGCCCAAGGAAGAAAAUUUCGGUGAUUACGGAAAUUUUGACCCUCCAAAAUAUGGAAAUUUCGACGGAAAUUUCGGGGAAAUAUCGAUUGCAGUAAAAAAAUUGAGAAAAUUGACGGAAAUUUGAAGAAAAACAAGGAAAUUUUAAACCAAACUUUAAGAGAUGUUUGUUUUCUAUAUUAUGUACUAUAUUUGAAAUGAAAACCUUGAAUAAACAUCGAUCUAUAAGGAGUUGUAGUAAGUUAAGGUGAAAAAGUUAGUGCUGAACCGUUAAUAAUUCUUAGAAGUUUACUUUAAACAUUUUUUUUUUAUGGCUGGAAACCCAAAGGAGGCUAGGUCAUCACGCUUUAUAUACAUAUGAUAUAUUUCACAUGGAAUUACAUGAGUACUUUAAAACCACGUAGAAGACCUAUGAUGUACAAAAUUUUCAUUAUCUUUAUCGUCUCUCUGUGUAGAGCCUUCAGUAUAUUGUGAAGAAUAGUCAUUAAAUAAUACCUCACCUUUAUAGAUAUAUUAAAAAUGAAUUAAGAAGUGUAGGUAAAAAAUCUUUUUUAUGGAAGUGUAGGUAAAAAAAUUAGUUGGAGAUUAGACAUUUACCUAAUUUUUUACUUUUCAAAUUAAAAAAACCAAUAUAUAUUAUAAAGAUACUAUAAUAAACAAGUUAAAUGGUUAGUAGGGUUGGUUAAGUUGUUAAUCUUGUACCAACCCGACCCAGGCUCGACUCACCUUCGCAGCAAAAUUCAAAGUCAAACAUUUCGGCAGGAAAGUAAGUUUUGCAGUGUUCAAAGUCAGGGGAAACAAUCAUUCAAAUUUGGGCGGGAAAGUGGGAAACCAUUUCAGCUUCGACUUUUCGGUGGGAUUUCAAAGUUUCGGCGAUAUUUUCGAAAUAUCGCGAUAUAUCGGAAAAUAUCGAUUAUUUCGGACGAAAAAUUCUGAGAAUGAAAAUAUAUAUCACCGUGUGAUAAAAACGAAAUUUUCGGCGAUAUUUCGACGAAAAUUUCGAUUUUUUCUUCCUUGUUCGGGCCUGACCAUAGCACAAUCGUUGUCUGCUAUUGUUGGGUCGCCGAUAUAGUUUUCUUAUUGGAAACUAUGCACUUUAUGUUAAUGCCUAGAGAACCCUAUUCCUCCAAAAAAGAAGAAGCCGGUGUCUAACAAGAAGCUGAAGAAAGAGAGGCUGAAGCAAGGCGUCUCUGCUCCAGCAGGCGAGUAAAUAUGGAAGAAAGACCGCAACUCUGCAUGCAUGUUGAGCUCACAUAUGUUGAGAGUUUGUUCUUUCAUUUCCCUUAAUACUAGAUGGAAUUGGACUUAGUAAUUGGAACCCUGUAUUGAUCUAGCAACCAGGGAGUGAGAAUGUUGUUCCUAAGACAGUUUUUAUCUUCAAAUUUUCUUUCUUAAACAAGUAAUAAUCAGACCUCAGAACUUAGAAUGAGUUACUUUGCCAAAUAAAAUAAAAAAUAAAAAAACAUAACAGAAAGAAAGGGAAGAAAAAGAAAAAGAAUAAAAAGAAAUAUUCUGAACCAUCAAUACUUUGUCUCUGUUCCUCAUGUGCUAGAAUAAACGAAAACAUCUAACUGUUUGUGAAAGAAAAAGAAAAAAAAACAUGUAAACUAAGACUAAUGCAAAAAGAAGGAAAAUAUACCUCAUGUGAAUAUAGCAGAAAGAAAUGUAGUGGAUCUACAAAAACCGCGACCAUGCAAGAUACUACAAAAAACUUGUUUUAUCUUCAAACAACUUUGUUAUCAGGUUCACAAUCCCGAUAACAUAGGGAUGCAAAAAAAAACAUGUUCCUUUAAACAAACUCAACAAAUUCUUUUUGUAUGACAUAUUUGUCUAUCGCUAAAUAUGAAAUGAGUGAAAUGUCGAUGAGGAUGAUUGUGAAGUUGUUUGGAUUUAAAUGUAUAAUGAGGUACGGAUCGGAGAGAUGGGAGAAUGGGAAGUUCGAUAUAUGUAUUAGAUGAGUGAACUCAAUGAGGAUGAAGUUGUGAGAUUUAUGAUAUGGGAAGAUCGAUGCCUUAUAUAAAGAAGAGGACUAGAGGAGUGAUGUUGAUAUCACUGGAAUCAAUAUGUUUGGCCAUGUUUUUAAGAAAUGAUUGUUUUUAGUUAGGGACAGAAAAUUUUCAUGCCUAGUUGUGCAUGUAUUACCUAGAGACACAUUAUAUAUAUGAUGGUGUGCACGGUAAAAAGGCAUAUGAUAACGACUUCAAGGAAAGCAUUCAAAUUUUCUCAAAACUAAAGUAACACUUUAUUCUCCCAUAUUUCUAUCUUCAACUCUCUUUAAUCUUUCAUUCAAUUGGAAGAUUAACAUAAGAGAUGAACCAGUCUUGGUGGACCCAUAAUCACAUCCAAGCUUCACCGAAAUCAAAUCCUCUGUCUUCCUAAGCGAGGAUGGAUCAAGAACAUUAUAUGUAAGGGAUAAUUCAAAUUCAGCACUUUCUGGAAAGCAAUCUGAGAAAUCCCCAUGGGGCUUUUGUUGGGCUUUAUCCUAUUGUCUUUCUUCAAUCUUCAUCUAUUGUUCGUCUUUGUCUUAUACCCAUCUUCUUCCGUUCUCUGAUUCUGUGCAACUUUGAUCUUUAUCUUUGUCUUAAUCUCAUCCUGUAAUAAGUUUUUGACCCACUUUCCCUUUCGAUUUCUUUUUCUCUAUAAAUAUCUCUCUUGAGUCUCAUACACCCAAUCCCAAUUACAGUCAUUCAAUCUCGUCCUUCAUCGGCUCAUGUACAAACAAUGUUUUUUUUAGGAGCCACUCUACCCAGAACCAUCGGUGGUAUACUUUGGAAAAUAAAGUAUGUAAAUCAAUCUGCCACUUGCCCAUUGCAUCACCAAUAAUCGACACACCCAUUGAAAUCGAUUGAACCAGAUUGAAAUACUGAGAUGCAAGAGUGAAUUGAUUUUUCAGAGAAAAGAAAAUAUCAGAUCUAGAAGAAGAAGAAGAUUCGAAUGAAGUUAACAGAGCAAUUGACGUUAGUUCCUGCCAUUUGCUUGCUUGGAAAAAAAAUACAAACGUGUCAACACGAGUGGAUGGUCGUAUGAAUGACGUGGUGCGAGUGCCGCACCUAAGAGUAAGUCCACCCCAAACUCCAAAACUGUGACCCAGACCUUUAGCCAUCUCAAAUAAAGACUCAGACAAAAAAAAACCAAAUCCACCUAUAGAAAAAAAUGAUAACCCAAUCUUUAUUAGAUCAAGACCUGAGUUAGACUCAUAACCAGGCAGAAAAAUGAAGGCCCGGGCCUUCCCUCUCCAGCUCAGCCCACUUGCAUGGGUUUGCAUGACGUCAGCCAUGUUAGAAGACUUGGAGAGAUGAAAGAAGACGCGUCUUGAUGUGGGUGAAGAACACAGACCAAUUGUUGAUGAAAGAGGACGCGCGGGGAACUCAUUUUGUCGCCAUGCGGGGUUAGUGGAUGGGCCACAUGCACGUUCCAAACCUUCACACACCCAUUUAUGUGAAUCUGAUGGUAUAUAUUUAACAACCAAAUAUUUUUAUUACAGAAAUAAAUAGGAAUUAUAAGUUAUAGUUUUAUUUUUUUGGAAUUUUAAUUUCUUCAACAUCCCACAAAAAAAAAAUUGUGCAUUUUAGAUCCAAUUUUUCAUAUCCCUAGCAUUGCUAUUUAUUUAUAAAAUUUUCAUAAAUUUGUCAUAUUAAAUAAUUCCGUGGAAUAAAUAUUUUUAAUAAAUAUUAAACAGUCACUGUCACGUGGUGACCCAAAAACUAAAAUCAUGGGUGGAAACUACAGCUCAAAAUCACUGCCACGUGGCGACCUAGGUCUCGCCUAAGACCCAGACCUUCCCAACGAAGACCUAGAAGGUGGACUUGUUCUAAGAUGACACGGUGUGAGUGCCCCACGCAAGAAUUGCUCCCUGGACCGUGACCACGUGUUUUGGAUAGGGUAAUGCACUACAAAAAAUAUGCGUAAAAGCGACAGUUUUUUCCCCACAUUUUCAGUUUUCGUGGGAGUAUAGUACUGAAUAGUGUCAACGUUUGAAAUCUUUCGAACUCUCCCACGCAAGUCGCAACUUCGAAUUCGUGGAGUAUAAAACAAUAAAAAAUUGUUCUGUAUGGGUAUUUAAUUCUGACACUCUAUUUUUUUUUCCAGUUUAUAAUUCUAAAUUCAGUAAACACCACGCUUUUAACAAUUAGUGGGAAGUAAAUAAUAAAAUAUUAUGAUAGUGUGGAAUUAUGAUGUUGAAACGAUGUAAUUAUCAUGACAUUUUAGUUUCUUACCCGUUUUUAGUAAUUAAUUCAUUUGAAUGUCCCACAAAUAUGCACAAAACGUGAGAACUUAUCUGUACAAGUACAACUGUUGNNNNNNNNNNNNNNNNNNNNNNNNNNNNNNNNNNNNNNNNNNNNNNNNNNNNNNNNNNNNNNNNNNNNNNNNNNNNNNNNNNNNNNNNNNNNNNNNNNNNNNNNNNNNNNNNNNNNNNNNNNNNNNNNNNNNNNNNNNNNNNNNNNNNNNNNNNNNNNNNNNNNNNNNNNNNNNNNNNNNNNNNNNNNNNNNNNNNNNNNNNNNNNNNNNNNNNNNNNNNNNNNNNNNNNNNNNNNNNNNNNNNNNNNNNNNNNNNNNNNNNNNNNNNNNNNNNNNNNNNNNNNNNNNNNNNNNNNNNNNNAUCUAUAAACAAGAUAAACAAGAAAUGGAGUAAAAAUUUCAACAAAGAUUAAUUCCUGGUACACUUUCAUCUUUCUUAACAUCUUAUGGCAUUGAUAUUGACUGGAAUAGCUCACAAAUAAUUUGCAGAUUGCAACUCUAGUUAAAUCCAAUUUGUCAAUACUGCACUUUAAUGCAUCAGGACUCGAGCCUAGUUGUUAUAUAUACUUCUAUAGUAAAGCUAGUAUUAGUAUAUGUGAACAAAGUUCAAAUCUGUGCGUAAGAAUGAUCCUUUCUAAGUUUCUCAUCUGUAUUAUUUGAAUGUCUGCAGUUUGCGAUACCAUUUCCACCCUGUGACAGGUGGAUGCUGAAGUUUUUAGUAAUCCAGCAAUGAUUUUGAAGAUGAAAUUGACCAAUCUUCCAUGGAGACUAUAAAUCAUUCAGAAAGGGUCCCUAAAAUGUAAAAUUGUUUAGAAUUACAUAUGAAAGCUUGUAGUGCCUUUGAUUCCAUGACUGAAAUUUACAGGGUUAGCAUUUCUGGCUUACUAAAGCUUGUACUGGCUCCCACCAUAUAUGCCAAGAUGCUUAGAAGAUUUCUGCCAAUCUCUUUAUUUUGGCGUAUGUAAGGAUCAAAAACUGACAUGAUUGCAACCUAAGAGCUAUAAAAUUUGAUCAAAAUUUUCUCCAAUUCAGUCAUAUAUCAUGCUAGUCAAGUUCAUCAUGUUGUUUGGAAACAAUGUGACUUAUCAUGCGAAUUUCACGUCACUUAUCACACAGAAACGCUCUUACCAACCUCUCCGUAACCGAGUUUGGUUGAUUCUUUCAUACGUUAAACUCUCACACAGAUGAGACGUUACACAUAAAAAUUUGAAAACGUUUGAUUCCUGUUGAUACGGCUCCCCAUAAGGAAGAUUAAGGGUAAAAAAGGUUGACCGUUUUUAUCGGUACCCAAAAGUUACUCGAAAUAUGUGAUUUUUCAACCAUAGCCGUAUUUCACUAUUCCGAUCACAUCUUAUUUACGAGAUUUUUGCUUCCUUUGUACAGUUGGUUUACAAAAUUGUACACUUGCAUAUAACCUACUAAACAAGUUAUAUCACAUUAGUAGACACGUUGUGAUUUCGAUGACUAAAAUUCUCAAAAUGAAAAUUCCACAGUCUGAUAUGAUCAUUAUAGUAAACCAUGUCUAUGGUAUAAAAUUCAACUCUAUUCGGUAGCGUUCGGGGCUCGAUCGAAGCGGUCAACCAUAAUAUAUCGUCACUUAUCACACGGAAACGCUCUUACCUACCUCUCCACGACCUAAUUUGGUCAAUUCUUCCACACGUUAAACUCUCACAUAGAUGAAACGUAACCACACAUAAAAAUUUGGAGACGUUUAACUCUCGUUGAUAGGGCUCCCUAUAGGGAAGAUUAAGCGUAAAAAAGGUUAACUGCUUUUAUCGGCACCCAAACGUUAACCGAAAUAUGUGAUUUUUCAACCAUAGUAGCUAAACACUAUUUUGAUCACAUCUUAUUUCACGAGAAUUUUGAAAAUUUUACUUCCUUUAUGUAGUUGGUUUAAAAAGUUGUACACUUGCAUAUAACCUAUUAAAUAAGUUAUACUAUAUUAGUAGACACGUUGUGAUUCCGAUAACUUAAAAUCACAAAAUGAAAAUUCCACCGUCUGAUAUGAUCAUUAUAGUAAAUCAUGUCUAUGAUAUAAAAUUCAACUUGAUUCGGCAACGUUCGUGGCUCGAUCGAAGCGGUCAACCCUAAUAUAUCGUCACUUAUCACACGGAAACGCUCUUACCUACCUCUUUGUGACCUAGUUUGGUUGAUUCUUUCACACAUUAAACUCUCACAUAGAUGAGACGUAACCACAUAUGUAAAAAUUUGGAGACGUUUACCUCCCGAAAAUAGGGCUCCUUAUAGGGAAGAUUAAACGUAAAAAAUGUUACUGUUUUUAUCGGCACCCAAACGUUACCCGAAAUACGUGAUUUUUCAACCAUAGCUAUAUUUCACUAUUUUGAUCACAUCUUAUUUCACGAGAUUUUUGAAAAUUUUGCUUCUUUUGUGUAGUUGGUUUACAAAGUUGUACACUUGUAUAUAACCUAUUAAAUAAGUUAUACUAUAUUAGUAGACACGUUGUAAUUCCAAUGACUAAAAAUCAUAAAAUGAAAAUUCCACCGUCUGAUAUGAUCAUUAUAGUAAAACAUGUUUAUGAUAUAAAAUUCAACUUGAUUCAGCAACGUUCGGGGCUCGAUCGAAGCAGUCAACCCUAUUAUAUCGUCACUUAUCACACGAAAACACUCUUACCUACCUCUUUGUGACCUAGUUUGGUCGAUUACUCCACACGUUAAACUCUCACAUAGAUGAGACGUAACCACACAUAAAAAUUUGGAGACGUUUACCUCCCGAAGAUAGGGCUCCCAUAGGGAAGCAUAAACGUAAAAAGAGUUGACCGCUUAUAUUGGACUCGGACUUUACCCGAAAUACGUGAUUUUUCAACCAUUGCCGUAUUUGACCAUUCCGAUCACAUCCUAUUUCACGUGAUUUUUGAAAAUUUUGCUUGCACUGUAGAGUUGGUUUAUAAAGUUGUACACUUGUAUAUAACCUACCAAACAAGUUAUACCACAUUAGUAGGCACGUUGUAAUUCCGAUGACUAAAAAUUACAAAAUGAAAAUUCCACCGUCUGAUAUGAUCAUUAUAGUAAAACAUGUCUAUGAUAUAAAAUUCAACUCGAUUCGCAAUGUUCAGGGCUCGAUCGAAGCGGUCAAUAUCUUAUGACACUACUAGCAGCCUGAUCUUUAUUAGCAUUUUUCAUGGCCACGUUUUUCAUGGCCGAGCUCAUCUCACCCCUGUACUGUUCGUAAAGUUUCCUCCAGUUGUUCAAGCAGUGUUUGGGGACUUGAUUAAUGUCAAAAAUAGGAAGUUUCUUGAUUUCUGAACAAGGAUACAGAGGAAAAUCAGUAUGUUAAAAGUUGAAAUAAAUCAUUUUUUAUCUAAAGUUAUAAUUUGAUGGAAAUUUCAUAACUUUGAAAUACUAAAAGGAUUUGACAUGGGAACAUCACAGAAAGCUAUCAUAACCUUUGACAGAAAUUGGUUCAUGAUCAACAUUAAACAUUAUCUACCAUCAAAUUUUAAAAGAUUUUGGUUGAUUUAUAACAAUCCAUAGAUUCUGCUAAUUCUAUGGAUUGUUUUAAUUCCAUAUGGAGUUUAACAAAUUUUAAUAGAUUGAUUUAUUAGUAUUCUUUUAGACUUUUAUAAGUCCACAGAUUGUUGUAACGGCAAUAAAUAAAAAAAAGUUUCUUAAAACACAAACAAUACAGUAAAAACGAUGAUGACUUGAAACAUAAUGCUCUGAUACAAUAGUAUAUAGGUUACUAGUAUCACAUCAUACAGAGAACUGUAUCAAAUCCAAUCUCUCUGUUUGUGAUCAACUCCCCUAUAAUUGAAUAUUCAAGGAACAAUUUUCCCAACAUAAGCACUCAGAAAAAUAGAUUUUCAUCACCAUCUAAAAGCUAUCUAGCAUUAUUAACCAGAUGCAGACCCAUAAUUCUUCCCACACACAAUUAGCUGCAACUCGUCACAACCAGAAAUUAAAGAAUACCAACACCAGCAAUGGCAUGGAGGACGUUUGCAUCAACACCCUUGAACAAGGACUUAGCACCCACAUUCUUCAAGAUCUGAGUGAAGGCUUCAAAACUCUUGUACUCGACAGCUUCACCAGAGGUCAUUAUCUACGAACAGUGUCAAUUGGGUAGGAAGAUAGACCAGCACCAUUUCUGAUGACCUAGGAGAAGUACUACAAGUCAAAAACAAAAGGAUGAUUAUCAAAAACAAAAUGAUGUCAGCUGGAAUACCUACAAGCCAUAAGAAUCUAGUCGUGGACAAAUAAAGUAAAUAUAAAUACAGCUUCCGCCAACACACUGAAGUUGCAUAUCCUUGGAAUCAAACCACCAAUAUAGGAUAAAUAGAAUUUGCAAGCACAUAAAAGUACAAAGAAUACCAAUCAAAUUACUACAGGCCUUAUGAUAUAAGUGUCACUACAACGCUUAAUAAGAGUUCAAAAAUGAAUGAUCCACUGAUCCAUGAGUGACCACACUAACACUUGAGUAAUACAGGACCUCAAUACUUUCCUACUAAAAUAACCAUUUUAAACAGUAGUAUAAGGGUAUUCAGAAUUUCAGAUAUGAUACAUGAGUAGCAUAUAUUAAGAUCGCAAAUUGAAGAAAACAUAUAUAUCUCUCGUAGUUAGAAGAGAUGGGACAACAGUUGGAUAAUGACAUAACUAAUCUUUGGUUUUCAAAGUUUAUCUGCCCAUCCAUUCAAAACAAACGAAUCAUUAUUAGCCGCUAAACAAAUCACAGAGUCAUUCCUUUUACCCUCAAAGUUAUCAAUGUUGUUCUUGUAACUAGGCACGUGUUGCUACAAACAAUUCCCCUUAUACACACCCUGACCUACAGACAUAUAUACCAAUAUCCAACACUCAAACAAUUCCCCUUAUACACCCUGACCUACAGGUUUGUCUUUCUCAAGUUCAGACUAUCUUAGCAUACUGGAAAUCAUAUGCCAUCAUUCUGAGAGAAAUUUGUACAGCCUCCUCAAUCUCAAGCUAACUAGCUCUUAUAAUCAAUGCACUCAGUUAUGCGCCCUACGUACUUCUCUCUCUUUUUCCUCUACAAAACUUGAUGCUUUGGCCGUCAACCAUGAAACUGUUUCCAGGAAAGAUAAUGUACUGCAAUCAUCUACUUGUUCGUGCAAACCAUUGAGUUCAGACUUCAGAUACACCAUGUGUAAUGUGGAUUUUUGUGAUAGAGAUAUUUCCCUAAAUUAUUUAUUCUAUUAGUCAAAACCUUGUUAAAAACAUAAACUAGCAGCUUUUAAUGUCUUCCUGUAGACAUCAACCUUAGGUUUCAAAUUCUAGCUUGAUUCGAUUAGUUACACAAUCAACCUAAGCAAGUGUUCGACAUAAUGAUUCUGAAACAAAUGCGACGUACAAUACCAGCACGAACCCCAACAAGAAAUAUGAGAUUAAGAUUCAAAUACGAACAGAAAAGAGAAACAAAGAGCAUGAUUGAUACCUUUCGAGUGAAAUAUGGAUCAUUGGCGAGAACGAUGGUCUCGAAACUGAGUCGUUUGAAUCGUUCGCAGCGGUUGAUUCCUUCGUUUUCAACGGAGGCACCGCCGCCGCUGUAGAUCUUUGACUCGGAAGAACAUCACUCAGAGCCUCAUCGAGCUUUCGACUUGAAGAACAACCUACCGAGGAGAGAACCCAGUGAGCUCUCCUCAGACUCCAUCAAAAUCUCGUGGGAGAGGCCAGAUUUCUUAAUGGAAUUUGUAUUUAUACCUAGCCCUCUAAAAUCCAUCAAAAUCUAACAACUGAUGGAAUCCUUGAGAAUCUAUAGAGUUUUGAAUACCCUCGUAUUUUGAUGGAUAUUUUAAAAUCUGAAUCGAAUACAUCAAGAUUUAUAAGGAGUUUUUAAAAUUUGAUUGAAUACCCAUAGAUUUUCAGAAUCCAAAAAAAUCCAACAGACUCCCAAUUGAAUACACCCCCCUAUGUAGUUCAAGUCUCACCUUGGAACCUCUCACAGAAUUGUCUAUAAGCAUCAGAAGGAGCAGACAGGAUUUCAUCGGGAGAAGGGGAGGAACAAAGUGAUUGUCCAUUGCACAAUGUCGCCGGCAAUGGAUUGGAAGUCUCACCUGCACCACACAAACACACAAAACUCACUAAUUUGCUUAAAUUUCAUCAUAAAUUUCGGCUAAUCACUAAAAGCAUCAACUAGAUUAUAAGUCUAACCCUGAGACUGAAAACUUAAAUAAAAUGGUGCAUCAGUAACUACGACCUUUACCAUCAGACUUGCUUUGACAAGAAUAAGUGUGUGCCACUUUCACUGGAGAAUAAGGUGAUUGUGUAUUGUUGUUGUUUCUGGGUUGCUCUAGAACAGUAAAUGCCUCACCUGCACCAAAAGCUUUAUUAUAGUCAUAUAACAGCAUUGACCACCAACAAAAUGAAUCAACUUGAGAGAGUGAAAGUAGUGACAAACCUUGAAACCCAUCAUCAAGUUGGCCAGGACCAGACAGUCUUUGAGAAGAAGUGCGUGCAAGUUUCAUCGGAGAACCCGAUGAAUAAGGUGAUUGACCUCUAACAGGUGGCAGGUGAUUAAAUGCCUCACCUGCACCGAAAAUCUAGUCAUAUAACAGUGAUGACAACAAGUCCAGUAGUCCACAACCAAAUGAAUCAACUUGAGAAAGCAAAAUAUGACAAACCUUGUGACUUCUCAUGAACUUGUGCAUGAGUAGACAAUCUUUGAUAAGAACAACUCCCUGUUGCUUUCGAUGGAGAACCAUAGCAGUAAGGUAACCUGUCACUAACUGCCUCACCUGCACCAAAAUCCUUAACACUAUCACACACAAAACACUCAUAUGACCACAAUGCAAUGCAUCAAAAUAGAGAACGCAAGAAGCACAACAAACCUCGAGACCUCUCAUCAACUUGUACAUGAGCAAUAAAGCUUCCAUCACAGCUUCCGGGUUGCUCCACAACACCAUACACCUCACCUGCACCAAAACCCACAGAUCCAGUUUCCCUCACUAUAUCAAACCCACAGUAAAGAACACUGGAGACCAUCAUAUAUACCCCAACCCUGAACAUGAAGUGAUGAAAACUAUACCGAACCGGGAUCGAUCCAUGAACAUAAAUCAAUCAGAACUAACAAACCCUAAACAUUGGUAAGGCUGACGAGAUUAAUAAAUGGUAAACGGCGUGUUGUGUAAGCUUCGGCAAUGUAGACUGUAGAGUGGAGUUAAUUGAUUGAUAGGUUCAUAACUCUGAAGCAUGCAACGCCAUUUGUUUUUGGUCUUUUCCUAUCAAAAAUCCUACACUUCUAGUCCAAUUAUUCUUUAAUCCUGCACAUAAUCUGAUGCUAAUUUACCAAAACUAAAGAUCCUGAGCUCAAAUCAAGAACAAAAUCAACACUAGAACUCGACUCGACCCGAGAAUCGAAAUGGUACCUUGCUGAUUGGUCCCUGAAGGAGAGAGUGACGCUCUCCGAAGCUUCUCCGCUGGGCUUGUUCACCUAGAUCCACGAGACUUCAUCGGAAACCUCGGCAUCCGGAUCUGCGGCGCCGCCGAUCUUCGUGACCAGCCGGACCUUUCGCGAUGUGCUGGAGCGGCGUUUAGGGGUUUUGGUGAGGUCGGGGUUGCCGGAAGCCAUGUGAAAAAUUAGGUCUGGGAGAAAUUAGGGUUUCAAAUUCGAGAUCUGAAAGCUUCGAAAUUGAGAGAGAUGAGAGCAAAGGCCAGUUGGGAAUUGAAAUUGGGGGAAAUUGAAAUUUAGAGAGAACUAAAGCGGGGAGUGGGCGGAAGCAAAGAUGAAUAGGAUAGUCACCCACGCACGACGCGCCUCGCUAGGCGUGCUUACAAUUGACAGUUAAAACGAGUUAAUUACCUUUUCAUUUCCGUCAGAAAACAAACGCGGAGCACAGACGCUCCGGAGCAUUCCAGACGUCUCCUCUCCUUCUAUCUUCUCCUCCCUUCUUUCUUUGUCUGUAACUCAUCAAAGCUUCAUUGUUCAUUCUUCCUUCAUAAACGUUUUUAGCUGAAAAACGUAUCUGUGGUGAACUCGAAAACGAAUCUCUCUUAGCCGGUGUACAGAAAUAAAGAAGUCUUUCACACUACCAGAAAUGUGGGCAACAAACACCAUCAUAAUGAUGUGCAUUGAACCAAUGGAAACUAAUCAGUGGUGUGGAUUCAUGAUAGCCACGGCCCUAGCCACUAUUAUGAGAUUAGUUUGCAUUGCUGGCGUGGCUUUUCCUAACAAUACACUAUCAUCUUUUUGGUGACUACAUAUAUACUCACUAAUUCAAUCUUUGGUGACUUCAUUGAAUUAAUAAAUAAAAAAAUAUUCAGCUAUAAAACUCUAUGGGUCCUACAUAUUCAGCAAAAGCAUCUUCAAAACCAGCUUCUUUAAAUUCAAAACCGCGAUCUCUAUCUCGUCUCUAGUAUCUCCUGCAAAGCAACAACAUGGGCAAAGAUUACUUGGCUAUAAAUCACCCCUCAUAAUUUUAUUUCCUUCAUAUAACAGAUGAUAUGUAUCUUGUGGAAAUAAAAUCAAUGUAUCCAGUGGAAAUAAAAUUAACUUGAAGCUCAUAAACUAUCAACAUGUUCAUAACCCGUGACUUUGUAAAAAUAUAAACUUAAAGCUCAUAAACUAUCAACAUGUUCAUAACCCCUGACUUCAUACCUAUAUCAACUUGAUGAACAAGUUCAUAUAAAAGCUCCCUACAUGUUAUGUAUCACAUACCUUAGUUCUUAAUACAAGAUAAUCCUCUCCUCUCUCUUUUUCCAUCACUAAAAUGCAAGUAUAGUGUACAAAGUCCACAUCUUUUCCUGCAAGCAGAAAAACACACUUUGGGUAAGUUGGCCAGAAAACAUACAAUAAAUUUCUUUUGGGUAAGAACCUUAGAAGAAACAAUUAUCAUUCACAUUUAUUAUAGUAAAACCUGGUUCAAGUUCAUAAAUUAAGCAUCUAUCGGCAUAGUUGACACAUAGAAGGUAAAAUCUGAAGCUAGAAAUGAGGUUAUAGUGAACAAUAAUGUAUUAUGAAUUAAGUUCCCAAGGAAUGGUAGUAUCAUAUAUAGUAAUGGUAGUAUCAGCCCACUUUUAUGGAUGAUGCAUAUUCAAUUACUGAUUCACAUUUACAAAAGAAUAUAAGCGUACCUUAUUGAGUGAACGACAUUUUUUUGUCUCCUCAUUCAUACGGUCUUGCAGCUUUCUGUUUCAGAAUGAACACCCUACAAAAAAAACUGCAUAUGACCAGUCAGUUAAGAAUCUUAAGAAGUUCAAAUAGAUUGAUAUGAAUCAAGGACAAUUGUAUACAAAUUAAGAACUGAUAAGGAGGGAAGAUAAAUAUGUAGGUGAAGUUUACCUCCUUCAACACCAGGGCAUCUAACUAUUCUUUUGUCAUGGUAAGACUUGACUAUAGGAGGCGCUUCCUAUAACACAGACAACAUACUAGCCUCAAUACACAAUAAUGGAAGCCCUAAACAUUAUUUGUACAUGUUCUAAACCAUGUAAACAUGCUUCAACUUUACCAGUUGAAAUUGACACAUAAGAGGUGCACAAUACGCAUAUUUUUUUGUCUAUUCAUUCGAUAGAAAGCAAUUAACCAUGUAACCACAAAAUUCAUAUGGUAAGAUCGAGGAGUCUGACAACUAUUAUCUCUUUUUUCAUUCAUUCACUCGAAGAUCAAAAUAUAAAUAAAAAACACCUUCCCCUCGAUAGUUAUUAGAAAUCUGCAAUUAGGAAUCAAAAGACUCUUGUUUAAGGUCUAAAAGUAUGAAUGUAAAAGCCCACUUCUACGACAACAAAUGCCAAAGUCAUCUCAUAUAAUUUAUGAAUAAUGAAGCAAGAACAUGAAACAAAAAAAUUAAAUCUUCAGAGUACCUUAGUACCAAAAGGAUUAAUUGGAUUAUUAAUCUCAAGAAUUUCCUCCCCUAAAAAUUAAGUCUUCGGAGUACCUUAGUACCAAAAGCAGAUAUAAACUAACAAUAAUAUGAAGUUUGACUAUCAUAUUCAUCUCAUCACCCAAAAACAGUGAUGUAAGCUACUUAAUAUAACAGACCAUAAAAGCUGGAAGAAGCUAGUUAUGCAGUAAUUCUCUAUUUGGUGUAAAGAAUAUAAAACUCCAAAGAAACUGCAUUUGAUUGAAGAGUUCAUAAAAUUGAUUUCCCAUCAAGAAUAUACAGUCACAUUUAAGAUUGAUACAAAAGACAUAUCUACAAGUUAAAUGUGCAGACAUACUGACAAUUAAACAUUAGUGUCUACAUGAACUCCUUUUUUUCUUAUUGAUACAUGAACUCCUUUUAUACCACAUCAAACUAAUAAUAAUCAAGUUAUUAGUAGAGUCCUUACUUAAACCUCAUGAACAUUACAAAGUAUUGAAAGCGAAUAAACAUCUCAGAGAACAGAACUCACCAGGUAAACAACUUCUAUUAAAUAAUUCUCGACAUUGUCAUUUCUGAAACAACAGUAUCAAGAAUAAGCACCCAAAUUAACUAUUAUAUAGUCAGCAGUUAUAAAAUUUCAUCAAAAAAGAAUUUUCAUCAGUUAAAUUAUAUCACCUUCCACAGUUCCACCUUUCAUUAUCCUAAAGAUCAUGAAAAUGUCCAUUCCUUUUCUGUUCUUUUGACCAGUGUGAUAAGCUUCAUUCCAACCCUAAAAAAUUAACCCCAAAGUUCAAGUUUUGCGGUGGAGAAAGAAUGCAUGCAAGAGCCUCUAAAACCAAAAUAAAGAAUUAUGAUGCACAAGAAAAGAAAAGCACAACAUACCAAAGCAAUUAAAUAUAACAACUUCAUUACAAAUGUAAAAACGAAGCAGAUAGGGAGAUACACUGACUUGUUCCUCUUUCCAUUCAUCGGGUCGGAGCACCAGUUAAUCUUUCACAGCCCAUGGUGAUCUGCAAAAUUUUCAAUCGAUCAAUCUUCAUACUAUGCUGAAAGAUGAUAUCGGAAACCAAUCAAUGAAGCGAGAUUGGGAUUUAAGAUUUUCAUUACUUGCAGCGCCGACGAAGACACGGAGUUGGAUUAGAUCGGCGUAUGGCCGAAACAGACAGAGUAAUUUAGAGGCUUGUCGAGCUGCGGUAGCUGAGAGAGAGAGAGAGAGAGAGAGAGAGAGAGAGAGAGAGAGAGAGAGAGAGAGAGNNNNNNNNNNNNNNNNNNNNGGAGAGGAACUUCGUUAUGCACCAUAAGAAAAAAGAGAUAAACUCAUAAAAGUAUAAUUUUAUAACUUUAAACAAUAUUGGUGACGGUCAAACAGUUGUGGUUUUUGCUAAUAGUGACACCGUUAUAAGGAUUGGGGAGAAAUCCUAUGGGUUAUGUCACCAUUAGACUAAUAGUGCAUAGAAAAUAGUAUCUGAUGCCCACAUUUGUGGUAGUGUCAUCUGCAGUCAUAGUCUCAAGAAUGACAAAUCGUCAUCAUCUGAAGUAUUGAGGCAUGUCAGAGAUUUCCAAUCUUCCUUCAAAAGGUUAGAUUUUUCCUUCCAUGACCCAUGUAAUAUCAGGAUUUAAGUGGGUAUAACAUGACUGAGAAAUUUGAAAAUAGGAAUUUAUUGGUUAUGAUUUCUUCAUGAUUUUCUGCUAACAUAAAUUCUCAAUUUUUUUUUCAUAUAUUAUUUCUUAGGAAAUUGAAUUCUGGUGAAGUUAAUCAAUGUGUUUGCAUAUAGGCGUCAACAGAUCGAGCUUGGCUGAGUAGUUGCCUCCUCCACAUGUAUAUGUGUUGGCUUUAAACUCAGUCUUCUACUAUAUGUGAUGUUUUGUUUCGUUAAGUGUUUAUUUUGUGAUCUUGUUUCGUCAAGUGCUGAUGUUUCUUAAUAUCUUUUAUUAAACAGCGACAAGCGUGGCUCGUGGAUCACAUUGUACCGAUACUGUCCCAACUUAACCACCUUUAAGGUGUUGGGUUUUAAUCACAAAAGGCCUCGGUACAAUUGGAUAAGAUCCAUCCACAUAUAAGUUAUAUUUUAUUUGUCACUUUUCUGAUGUGGGAUUUAUUCCUCUCUAAUACUUCUAAUACGCCCCCUCACGUGCAACCUGACUUAAGGUCCGCACGUGGAAUGAAUCGGGACGGAACGAACCAAGGGACACUUAGUGACAAUCCAAUCGGAAUAUUCCGAUGGUGAGACAAGAAGCCGGAACCGGGCGAGAAAAUAGAAUCCCGGACCGGACGAGAGAAUGAACCCAAAUCGGGCCCAUGAGAAUUGGAGAAGUAAUUGGAGAGGGACCCGCUCUGAUACCAUGUUAAACAGCGACAAGCGUGGCCUAUGGAUCACAUUGUACCGAUACUGUCCCAACUUAACCACCUUUAAGGUGUUGGGUUUUAAUCACAAAAGGCCUCGGUACAAUUGGAUAAGAUCCAUCCACAUAUAAGUUAUAUUUUAUUUGUCACUUUUCUGAUGUGGGAUCUAUUCUUCUCUAAUACUUCUAAUAUUUUUGUCUACUUUUCAGGUAUGUGUUCUUGCAAAAUUUAUUAGCCUUAGCUGAAGUUGUUGUUGAGCUUGACUUACAGAAUGAGGUUGGGGAAAUACAAAGAUUAGCCUUUUCGACUUUGCAAAGGAUGGAUCAGGCCAUCAGGGGACGAGCAUCAUUAGUUAGUUUCAACUUUCAACAAUAGUUUUUUAGAUUAGCUCCAUGUAAAUAGAUUAGCUCCAUUUCCCUCCUGGCCUCCUGGGAAAUUUUGAUUAGUUGUGCUUUGUUGUGGAUUUCCUGCAAAUCAGUUAAUGAAUAUAAUCAUUUAGAGAAACUCCGUAUUUCUAUGAAUAAUUGGACGUAUUUCUAUAAAUAAUCGGGUAUUUCUCUAAAUAAAUACAAACCAAUUUGAAUAAGAGCCGUCAGAUAUAUGGUGGGCCCAGAUAAUUCACAUUUAUAACAGCUGUUGAAUUUUACACAUUUUUUUUACAAUCCACACACCUCUAUCUCACUUUUUAUAAGAAAAUGUCUAAAAUGACUCUAUUUUAGACAACUAGAAAAAUUAAAACAUGGAUAGUUUAGACAUUUUCUUAUAAAAAGUAGGGUUUAGGUGUGUAAAUUUCACUCCCCUUAUAUUGACCCUUAAAAUGGUAAUAUAAAAUGGGUCCCAACUUUGAUAGCACCCACGAAUGUUUCGUAUACGUGAGAUUUUUAAGCUAUCGCCAUGGCAUUAGUCCGCAAAUCGUGACCAAGCCCAAUGCACACGAUUAUUCGUAGGUAAAAAGGCAACUCCCACGAAACAAAUUCCUAGCUAUACCCAGUUUUUUUUUUUUUUUUUUAGUGAUGGCUGAUUAAGUUGGAUAAGAGCUAGAUGUAUUGGUUCCACUUCCACCUCCAUGUAAACACAAAACUAUUGUAAUUUACCACACAAUAACUAAUUAGCAAAGACUAGUAGAAUACGUAUAUGUACUAAUGUACACCAAGGACUGACACCAAACUAACAAUUCAGGUGGCCCAUAUAUAACCGAGUUCGUUUUAUAAUUCGAGUUCUUACAUCUUUUUAAUAGAUUGAGCUGAUCAAGCAAAAAUUCGAAUCAAACAAAUGAAGUAAACGGAUCAAUGAACACAGGUUAUUCAAUAUGCAUGAUUGUGAUGUUACUGAAAUUAAUGGACAAUCAAUUUCAGUAUAAAGCUUAAGGUUAGCUGAGCAUGUCGUCUUAAUUAACUGCAGUACGUAUAGAUGAUCUGUUCUCAUUCAGUGUGCUGAUGUUCAUCUUCAGAAUGGAAAUCUGAAGUUGUGAAGAUGUAGUUUUUGAGAGCCCCGAGAAUGAUCCAUGCACAAUAGCACGAAAGACGAAAACUGAAGUGGAAGUAGAAUUUUUCUGUAAACUUUGUACCUACAAAAUUAAGUUUAAUAAUUUUCAGAUUCUUAUGCAGAGGUUUGGGUACGCAUGAAUCAAGAGAUCAGUGAAAGCAUAUUCUCAUCAUAAUUAACAUCAUACUUUCUGCAAUUUGUUCUCAAAUUGGAUUACCUAUAUAUAAAUUCUAGGCCAUAUAGAAAAUUAGAAAUAUAAGGUUGUUCAGCUUCCAUUCCGUGGAUGGAAAAUUCUAGUAUACCAUAUGGUAUAACAUACCUCACAAAAUAUGUGGCUAUCAUUGAUUGAAAAAACAACUAAAUGACCAUGUAAUGACUAUUUACCCCUUCAAAAGCCCACAUAGGCAUGUCAUACCAUAUGGUAUGAUAAACAAACCCUCCGUGGAUAUAUUUGUUAAAGAUCCUUGAAUCAUUUCCCCCAAAAAAGAAAAAGAAAAAAAAAGGAGAUCCUUGAAUCAGAGGUUAUAUAGGCUUUGAUGAAUGUCGUAUAUUGCUCGUCAUUUUCUUGAUGCAUCUAAUUAAGUACGUAGUUGGAGAAAACAAGAUGCCAGUGAAUCUAAUACCAAGAUUUCUUGCAGGGCUGCUUAAUAUCAAGUUAUCAACUAUUGUGAGUUACUAAAAUGAUUGAGUUCGUAUGUGGGUGAAGAUUUCACAUGGAAAUUUUGAUACAGAGAUAUGUAAUUAUGCAAACAGAUCCGUUCAUAUAUUCCUUUCCAUCGACAAACAAGUUACAUCAACACAGGCACACUUGAAAGAAAUCCCAUUUACAACAGUUGCGCACACAUGAUUAAAUCGAUCACUUCACUCCAAAACUUUCAAACCUCACUUUCCGGGAACAAAGUUUGUGGCAUAUGACCAAGCGUUGUUGUUAACAGGGUCAGCCAAGUGAUCAGCUAGGUUCUCAAUCGGUCCCUUUCCGGUAACAAUAGCUUGCACGAAGAAUCCGAACAUGGAAAACAUAGCCAGUCUUCCGUUCUUGAGCUCCUUCACCUUAAGCUCAGCAAAAGCCUCAGGAUCGUCUGCAAGCCCUAAAGGGUCAAAGCUCCCACCGGGGUACAACGGGUCUACUACCUCACCGAGAGGACCUCCUGCAAUUCUGUAGCCUUCAACAGCACCCAUCAAGAUCACUUGUGUUGCCCAGAUUGCCAAAAUGCUUUGAGCGUGGACCAAGCUAGGGUUUCCCAAGUAGUCUAGUCCACCCUCACUGAAGAUUUGAGCUCCAGCCUUGAACCAAACAGCUUCGCCGAACUUGACUCCAUUACGAGCCAAGAGUUCAGGGAAAACACAGCCAAGGGCACCUAGCAUGGCCCAUCUGGAAUGGAUGACUUCGAGCUCACGGUUCUUGGCAAAGGUCUCAGGAUCAGCUGAGAGCCCAGCUGUGUCCCAGCCGUAGUCACCGGGAAACUCUCCGGUGAGGUAAGACGGGGCUUCGCCGGAGAAUGGUCCCAAGUACUUGACACGGUCAGGACCGUACCACGGGCUGACGGAUGACACAUUCUUUGACUUGGCUGCGGUUUUGCGCAUGGUAACUCGGCCCUCACCGAGGAGGUUAGAUGUGGAGGAACCAAGCUUCACAGCUUGGCCAGCUAGAGAAGGGGAGGAGAGAGCCAUUGUUGAAGAAGCCAUUUGAGGAAAGUGUUGAGAGUUCUCAGCUUAGACAAUGUGGGGUGGUGAGGGCCGAGGGUUUGUGUUUUGAGUAGAGCCGUUGGUGGCUAUUUGUAUAGGGUUUUGUGUGGGGGUUCUUUAUCUUUUUGAUAUCUUCAUCUCUAUUCUUAUUGGGUGAUAGUGAAGUUUGAAGAUUUUUCCCUUCAACGGAUCUCUGCAUUUCCAGUUGGCCUCGUAUGCUCCACUACUAAGUUCAGUUAGUUCCAAAAAUAGAAAGACAUGCAGAGACAAAAAUGGAAAUCUGUUGUGGAUGUACUCUAUCGAAAAUAAAAUCUGUUGUGGAUACUCUGUGCUUUGAUUUCCAGCUAAUAGACGGUGACCACGUCAGCUUUGGAUCAGGGUAAUGGCUGAUUAAGAUUCUUGGAUAAGAGCUAGAUGUAUUAGUUCCACCUCCAUGUAAUGUACGUAUAUGUACACAAAGAAGUUAAUUAACUAGCAAAGAAUAGUAGAAUACGUAUAUGUACAUAAAGGACUAAUACCAAACUAACAUGCAACUCAGGUGAUCCCAUAUUAAUUAUAACGAGUUCGUUUUAUAAUUCGAGUCGUUACAUCUGUUUGAAAGACUAAGUUUAUCAUGUAAUAAUUUGAAUCAAACAAAUGAAGUAAACGGAUCAAUGAACACUGGUUAUUAAUGCAUGAUUGUGAUGUAUAUAUGUUACUGAAAUGGACAAGCAGUGUUUCUGUAUAAGCUUAAGUUUUCGCCAGAUCAAUUGAAGGAGGCCGAGCAUGUCGCCUAAAUUAACUGCAGUACAUAGACGAUCUGUUCCCAUUCAGUGUGAUGAUGUUCAUCUUCAGAAUGGAAAUCUGAAGUUGUGAAGCAAAAUGUAGUUUAUGAGAGCCCCAAGAAUGAUCCAAUGCACGAUGGCCUCCUGAAAGUCGAAAACUGAAGUAGAAGUAGAAAUUUUCUGUUAACUUUAUACCUACAAGUUUAAUAAUUUCAUGGACGCAUGAAUCAAGAGAUCAGUGAAAGAACAUUGUCAUCAUACUUUCUGCAAGCUAUCCUCAAAUUGGAUUACCUAUACAUGAAUUCAAGGCAUCAGCCAAAAGCCCAAAAGUAGUAUUGCAUAUAGGUUGUCCAGCUUCCAUGUUUGUCAUAAGGAUCCUCAAAUCAGCAUUAGUGGCUUUGAUUGAAUUUCAUAUAUCGCUUGUCAAUUUGUUGAUGCAUCUAAUUAAGUCGGAGAAAUUAUACAAGAUGUGUCAGAUAUUUCCAUGAUUUCUGGCAAUGCUGCUUAGAGCUGAUUCAUUAACUUGUGAGUUAAUAAAAGAUGAUUGAGCUUGUAUAGUUGUAUAUAUGGGUGAAGAUUUUACAUAAAAUUUUUAGUACAGAGCAAUUUAAGCAAACAGAUCUGUUGAUAUAUUCCUUUCCAUCGACAAACAAGUUACAUCAACAGAAACACACUUGAAAGAAAUCCCAUUUACAACAGUUGCAAACACAGAUGAUUCGAUCGAUCACUUCUCUCCCAAGCUUUCAAACCUCACUUUCCGGGAACAAAGUUGGUGGCAUAGGACCAAGCGUUGUUGUUAACAGGGUCAGCCAAGUGGUCAGCUAGGUUCUCAAUCGGUCCCUUUCCGGUAACAAUAGCUUGUACGAAGAAUCCGAACAUGGAAAACAUGGCCAGUCUUCC
This 42574-nucleotide long non-coding RNA is filed under the name Fragaria vesca (wild strawberry). RNAcentral's name for it is "long non-coding RNA (FVES_LNC003210)". Lineage: Eukaryota; Viridiplantae; Streptophyta; Magnoliopsida; Rosales; Rosaceae. The record is from RNAcentral.